Molecule: ribosomal RNA, 376 nt
Filed under: uncultured bacterium
Lineage: Bacteria
Description: bacterial SSU rRNA
Rfam family: Bacterial small subunit ribosomal RNA
Source: RNAcentral
AUACGUAGGGAGCAAGCGUUGUCCGGAUUUACUGGGUGUAAAGGGUGCGUAGGCGGCAAAGCAAGUCAGGCGUGAAAUCUGAGGGCUUAACCCUCAAACUGCGUUUGAAACUGUUUUGCUUGAGUGAAGUAGAGGUAGGCGGAAUUCCCGGUGUAGCGGUGAAAUGCGUAGAGAUCGGGAGGAACACCAGUGGCGAAGGCGGCCUACUGGGCUUUAACUGACGCUGAAGCACGAAAGCAUGGGUAGCAAACAGGAUUAGAUACCCUGGUAGUCCAUGCCGUAAACGAUGAUUACUAGGUGUGGGGGGUCUGACCCCCUCCGUGCCGCAGUUAACACAAUAAGUAAUCCACCUGGGGAGUACGGCCGCAAGGUUGAA